CACUGUCUCCUGCAGCCUGAGGACUGCGCUGCUAUUGCAGAUGGAGGAGCUGUGUCAAUGACACGGAAGCUGCCUCUUGUAGAGAGAGAUGGCACUGGCUGCAGCUAGGGGGAGCUCCAGAGCACAGCUCCUCCCGGGCCCUUAGUAAGCCAGCCGAGGGAAGCUCAGAACUCUCUGCUCCUCCAUGCUCUGGAUGAUAGCCAAAGACAGCUGAAUCCCGCCCUGCCCGUUUUUGUGCGCCCUGCCGCCCCGCCGUUUGCUGCCUGCCGGACCCCGCCACGUCGCCGGAUCCAGCCGUGCGCCGCCGGACCCGUUUCAGAGAAGCUGCGAGGGACCUCAGGGUAGUUCUCUGCCUCUGAUUAAGUCAGUAAUGUCCUUUUUGAUACUGAAGGCAACACAAAUUCGCAAAGCUGACAAGGCAGGAAGAACCUGCCAGCAUCUCUAUGGAGAACAGAGAGAAGUGUUGCGUUAUUACUGCUUCCAAGUCAAUAUUCCAUAAAGAAAGCUCUCUCUACGAAUUAAAAUCUCAGAGGUUUAAUGAACACCAUGGUCACACUGCUUGGCUACAGACGAAAAUCCACUCAGACAAAGGAGCAAGUACACAAAUCGAUGAAUAGCUGUAAUUAAACAGUGGAACCCAGAAUAUAAAAUGAUGGACGUUUUCCUUAUAAUAAAAUGAUUAGGCAGAUAAAA
Long non-coding RNA from Pseudophryne corroboree (corroboree frog), 693 nucleotides. RefSeq lists it as uncharacterized. The record is from RefSeq and is a predicted model, not a curated record. NCBI's taxonomy places the organism in Eukaryota, Metazoa, Chordata, Amphibia, Anura, Myobatrachidae. The transcript is spliced from 3 exons.